GGUAAACAAAAACUUUUAAUGACUAACGUUUUCAGCGCUCUAGGUGCCAUCAUCAGGUAACAGAACAAAAAGUUCUAAAAAUAGAACACGAACAGAUUUGAAACGAACAUGCAUAAACAUUGCUAUGGUUACAAAGGAUUAUGAUGUAAAACAAAAUAAAUACACAAAUAAAUAAAGUUCAGAUUAAAAAACAUUAAAGCAUUAAAAUUAACAUGCUCGUUCUUCUUUUACAUAUUUGCAUGGUCUUUCUUGGGAGGAACUUCCAUGGAGGGGGCGGCUCUUGCCCGGGGUGGUCGUUUAUGAGUGGCUCUUCGUGCUGUCUGGUGAGGGUUUCUGGGGCUUCCGCCAUGGCGCUAUGCUUUUCUUUUUUAACACUUUUAACUACUUUUGCCUCAUGCCAAUUUGUUCGUGUAUCGCUUUCAUAGGCGCUUCUUGCUGGUGCGGUGUUCAGGUUCCCUCUAGCUGCAUCUCUUUUGUGUUCCUGUAUUCUUGGCUCUAGUGGUCUCACUGUGACUCCUAUAUGAGCUUCUUCCUCGUUUUUUGCGUGAUUCAUUGUUGGAAUCCUAUAUACUCCGGACAUUUUUUCAUCCUUCCUUUUAUCUUUUUCAUUUCUAAGUAGAUUAUAUACGGUGGGAUGUCUUUUAUAAGUUACCUUCUUACUUCCUUUCUUAAUAAGCUUCUUAACUGUCUUAUAGUUGGACAUGGCGUAUGGGACUGGCUCAUACUCCGCUUGCUCUAGCCUUUCAGGAACUUGCGGGGGGGUUACUUGCUGUACUUUAGAGUAUAGUGCAUCUAGGAAGCUUCUACUAUAACCAUACAAUUUUCCGACAUUAUAAAUAUAAUCGAGCUCUAACUCUAAGUCUUCCUGGC
Molecule: long non-coding RNA, 870 nt
Filed under: Androctonus crassicauda
Lineage: Eukaryota; Metazoa; Arthropoda; Arachnida; Scorpiones; Buthidae
Source: RNAcentral